AUCAUGUAUGUUUUGCAGUUGCAA
RNAcentral lists this non-coding RNA (24 nucleotides) under Arabidopsis thaliana (thale cress). The record is from RNAcentral. Lineage: Eukaryota; Viridiplantae; Streptophyta; Magnoliopsida; Brassicales; Brassicaceae.